Non-coding RNA from Oryctolagus cuniculus (rabbit), 2627 nucleotides. The record is from RefSeq and is a predicted model, not a curated record. NCBI's taxonomy places the organism in Eukaryota, Metazoa, Chordata, Mammalia, Lagomorpha, Leporidae.
AAAGGAGCAGCCGGGACUAGAACCGUAGAACCAGCACCCAUAUGGGAUGCCAGCGCUUCAGGCCAGGACAUUAACUCACUGUGCCACAGUGCCGGCCCCAGGGUUCUUAUUCUAGGCUGGUGGAGGUGCUCUUGCUGUUUGAUGUGAGUUCGUGUUCCAUCGGUGGUACAUUUCCUUGCAUGCCAAUCCCGCAUCCUAAAAGGACUGUCAGCUUUGAACAGUGAUACAGAUGCCCACAUGUUCAGGCGUAGAGAGCACUGGUGUCUGCUUGGAAAUCCUUCGCUUCAUCAGCAGGCAGCUGGGUCAGAAGUGGAGUGGCCGGGACUUGAACCAGUGCCCACACAGGGCGCCCCACAGCUCCCCCGCCAUCUGCUACCAGAAGUACCGGGAGAGCUAAGGGAGGAGCAGCAGACACAGUGGUGGCCAUGACGCCCUUUGGUCUGCGGGACGAGCAGGCAGGGUCCGCCGGGAGCAAGUCCCCCCCCCCGGAAUGGCUUUGCCACAGAGGCCAACCCCCCUGUAAGAGAAGCGGAGCUCAGUGCAGAGAUGGGCAGGGCGGGUUGGAGGCAGGUGCCGUGUGGGCCCACCAGGCCCCAGGGACCAAAGUCCUGAGUGUUCAGAUCUGAAGCGCGACCCCUGGUAUCACCGCAUGUCACGCACGUCCCACAGCUGACAUCUGAGAGGGUCCUGCUGGCGGGGAGGGGUGGGAGGGCCUGGGCGGGGGGCGGGUGCUCAGCGCCCGGCAGCCAGGCUGAACACCCACAGCCCCACCUGCAACAGGGAACAUCCCAACUCUGCCAGGCCCCGCCCCCAGCACUGCACCUGCCUCUCCCAUCAGCUCUCCGACAGUGAGGAUGAGGCCGGCUGGGGUGCUGCUGACCCACACGUGGGGAAACUGAGGCACAGAGCAGCAACCCCGUGGGAGGCCACUGCAGAGCUCCCCACAGGUGAGUGCUGUCUUGGCUCAGGUCUGGAGUCUCACUUGAAUUUCAGCCCAGUGACCACCCCGCGGGCUGGAGAAAGUCCUGAGGGUCGCUGGCAGCGGAAGCUGCGCAAACCCCACGUGCGGGGGAGGCUCCAGCAGCCCAUGAAUGGCAUUGACUGGAGAUUCGGGGAGGCUGGGCGAGUUUCCGUUGGUGGAGAACUUGACUCACACUUGAGCACAUCUCCUGUUUCCUGUUGUUAAUAUCAUGAUUGUUUCCUUGAUGAAAAGCGAUCAAGAAAUAAGCCUGCAUCCCAUAGGAGCGCCGGUUCGAGUCCUGGCUGCUCUACUUCCAAUCCAGCUCCCUGCUAAUGCACUUGGAAAAGCAGCAGAAGACGGCCCACGUGCUUGGGCCCCUACACCAACGUGGGAGACCCGGAUAGAGUUCCAGAACCCCCUGUUGCAGUUAUUUGGGGAGUGAACCAGUCGUUGUUUCUCCCUCUCUGCAACUCUUUCAAAUAAAUAGCUAUUUUUUUUUAAAAGGUGUUGCUGGCAGGUUGGACCUGUGCAGCCAAGCUCGUUUGCUGGGUGAGCUGAGUCUGCUUCCGUUCCAGUCCCAGCGCUGCCACGGCCCGACCAUGAGGCUGUGCGCGCAUGAACUCCCCCCCCAGCCUCAGUCUCCCCACUGCAAAACCGAGCCCAUCGUCCCUGUGCAGCGAGCACACUUGCUCGUGUCUGUGCGGCUCUCGCUUGGCAGAGGAAUCAAAAGGCUAUAAAUAGCCAUGUCUUGGUUUCUCAGAAAUGUGUGAAGUGUGACUUGGCAUCUUGCCCAGGCUUCCGUCAGGGCGAUGAGCAGGGACAGCCGGGCAGGGGCCUGGGGGGGUGUCAAGGUCAGGGUCACGGGCCAAUGCAGGACUCAAGAGGAACCACAGGUGUCGCCCCCCCCCUCCACGCCCUCCUCGGCACAGGCUCCCAGCCGCCACUCCGAGCCCCGUCUGGGGAGCCACCUUUCCCCACUUCCUCGCUGUGGGCACCGUGGAAGGUGGCGGAACGGAAGGAUGCUUCUCGGCUCAGCUCCGCCCCCAGCCCUCGUCCCACGCCCUUCCCUGAUGACCUUGGAAACCAAGACUUCCGAUGAACUGGGCCACCUGCGCUUCCUUGGAUUGUGACGUGAGCAGUGCGGGAGCCUGCCCUAGGCUGAGCCGUCCAGACUGGCCUGCGGGACUCCAGGGCCGUCACAUGUGCCCGGGCAGCGUCACUGGGCGGAAAGGGGCCUGGAUCCAGGGCUGCCGUGUGCAGCUGUGCAGGCUGAGCACUGUGCAAAGCGACCAGCCAGGGGCAAGUAGGGCCCCCCUCUAGGCAUAGUUCACUGCUCGCAUUUGAUGCCAGUGCCCCGAUGGGGGGGCUGUGUCUGCAAAGAGAACCUGUGUGCAAUGUAAGCAUAAGGCGACACGUGGCUGAGCAUUGCUGUGGCUUCAGCAGAUUGGAGGGGCUGUGUCUGUAGCACGUACAGGAGUCCCCCUCGUCCACGGAGGCUUUCCCAGGGUCCUUGGGCAGUACCGAACGCUAUGUACUGUUCUCUUCCCCACACAUCCAUAUCUAUGAUAAGGUUGGAUUUAUAAAUUAGGCACAGUAAGAGAUUAGCAACAGUAAUGAAUAAUAAAUCAGCGAUCAUAGCAGUAUACUGCAUUAAAAGUUAUUUAAA